Molecule: microRNA precursor, 59 nt
Filed under: Solanum tuberosum (potato)
Lineage: Eukaryota; Viridiplantae; Streptophyta; Magnoliopsida; Solanales; Solanaceae
Source: RNAcentral
UAUUGGCCUGGUUCACUCAGACACACACUAUUUUGCUUUGAUUGAGCCGUGUCAAUAUC